Equus caballus (horse) is the source of this 2308-nucleotide non-coding RNA. The record is from RefSeq and is a predicted model, not a curated record. NCBI's taxonomy places the organism in Eukaryota, Metazoa, Chordata, Mammalia, Perissodactyla, Equidae.
GCACCCUCACAUGCUGUCCAGUGUGAAGUCUCUGACGUCCAAAGGAGAAUCUGCAGCAUGCUACAACGGAGCUUAUCUUCAGUGCGAAUCCUCCUCGUUUAGAACAUUAGCUACUUAAACUUUCUGAUAUAAAGCUGCAGAGGAAGAAACGAUGGUUUGAAUGAAGGCGGGGCCGAAGCUCUGGAUGCAGGUUACAGCUGGUGACUCGUCAAAGCGAGGAAAGGCCGGGAUGAGACAGAAGGGAUUCAAAGUACAGACGGAGACGGCGGAGGCAACAGUACCUGCUGGCCUCUCCUGAGUGCUCACUAUGUUCCCAACAAGCCUUCCGACUCUGACCUGGACUCACACCACUGGCACCCCUGGUUCUCAGGCCUGUGGGUUUGGACUGGAACCACAGCACUGGCUCUCCUGGGCCUCUAGACUGCAGAUGGCAGAUGGCGAGGACCCUUCAACCUCCACAACUGGAAUUUUAGCCACUCAUUUCCCAUUGUCUGCUGUCCAGCUCCAACCGAUCAGUAAUUCAGAGAAGCACCAGCUAAAGUGAAGAAGUGUGUGUAGCCAGUGGAUCUCACGAAUGUGGGCUAACGUCCACCGCUAGAGACUGGGUACAUACACUACGGUGCCCCACGCAACGGAAGGAAGAAGUCCUUAUGUACUGAUACAGAGACGCCUCAAAGAUAUACUGUAAGAUGAAAAAAAUAAAAAUAAAACACAAGGUGCAAAAUUCUGAGUAAAUAUUAUCUGUUACCAAUUGGAUAAAAACUUGGGAUAAAUGUAUAUACUGGUGUGCUCUCACAGUCAUCUCUGGAGAGCUGCAUAAGAAACUAUGUCAUGGCUUUCCUGUGGGGAGAGAUGCCUGGGUGGCUGGGAGACAAGGGUAGCAAGGGGACUUUAUUUUUUAAGUGCAUGCUUAUUUAUACUUUUUAAAUUUUGAACGAUGUGAAUACAUUAACCAUUUGAAUUUUAAGUAAGUAAUCAGAAUUUCAAUCAAAUCAUCAGCAAACAUCAAACAAACCCAAAGUGAGGAACAGUCUAUAGAACAGUUAGCCUGUCCUCUUCAAAAGGGUCAAGGGCAUCAAAGACAAAGACUGACGAACUGUUCCAGAUUAAGGGAGACUAAAGACGUGUGGCAGCUAAAUGCCAGGUGUGAUCUGGAUUAGAUCCUGGACCAGAUAAAAGACAUUUGUGGGACAGCUGGCAAAAUACGAGUAAGGUUUGUAGAGCAGCUAAUAGUAUUGUAUCAACAUAAUUUUCUCUAUUUUGAUAACUGUAUUUUGGUUAUGUAAGAUAAGGGCCUUGCUUUUAGGAACACAUACUGAAGUACUUAGAGAGUUAAUGGGGCACUUUCUAUAACUUAAGUGGUUCAGAAAAAAUUAAAUGUGCAUAUAUAUGCAUAUAUGUAUAUAUAAACACACACAUACAUAUAUAUAUAUAUAUAUGUGAGGAGAAAGAAUGAAAGCAAGCAUGGCAAUCCAGGUGAAGCCUAUAUAGGAAUUUUUGGUAUUAUUUUUUCAACAAUUAUUUUAAGUUUGAAAUCAUUUCAUAAUAAAAAUAUUUGUUUAAAAACCACAAUGAAAUAUCAUUUCCCACCCAUGGGAAUAGCUAAAUUAAAAACACUCAUAUACUAAGUGUUAUGGAUUGAAUUGUGUCCCCCAAAAAAGAUCUGUUGAAGUCCAAACUUCCAGUACCUCAGAAUGUGACCUUAUUUGGAAAUGGGGUCCCUGUAGAUGUAAUUAGUUGAGAUGAGGUCAUACUACAGUAAGAGGGACCCCUAAUCCAAUAUGACGGGUGUCCUUAUAGGAAGACAGCCAUUUGAAGACACAGACACACAGGAAGAUCACCAUGUGACAAUGAGGGCCAAGAUGGCAGUUAUGCAGCUAUAAGCCAAGGGGUGCCAAAGACUGCUGGCAAGCUGCCAGACACUGGGAAGAGGUGAGGAAGGACUCCCCACUUCCAGGUUUCAGAGGGAGCACAGCCCUGAAAAUACCUUAGUUUUAGACUUCUAGCCUCCAAAACUGUGAGACAGUAACUUUCUGUUGUUUGAAGUCACCCAGUUUGUGUACUUUGUUACAGAAGCCUAGCAAACUAUACACCAAGCAUGGAAGAGGAGAUAGAGCCACUGGAAUGCUCAAACACUCCUGGUGGGAAUGUAAAACGGGACAUAACUUUGGAAAGCCAUUUUGCUGUUUCUUAUGAAGUUGAACAUACUAUUGACCAGCAAUUCCACCCCUAGAUAUUUACUGAAGGGAAAUGAAAGCAUAUGUCCACACAGAAACUUAGAUAUGAAUGUUUAUAGCUUUAUUCAUAA